RNAcentral lists this ribosomal RNA (1343 nucleotides) under uncultured bacterium. RNAcentral's name for it is "16S ribosomal RNA". It matches the Rfam family "Bacterial small subunit ribosomal RNA", at positions 28 to 1378 of the family's 1533-position model. The record is from RNAcentral.
GACGAACGCUGGCGGCGUGCUUAACACAUGCAAGUCGAACGGAAAGGCCCUGCUUUUGUGGGGUGCUCGAGUGGCGAACGGGUGAGUAACACGUGAGUAACCUGCCCUUGACUUUGGGAUAACUUCAGGAAACUGGGGCUAAUACCGGAUAGGAGCUCCUGCUGCAUGGUGGGGGUUGGAAAGUUUCGGCGGUUGGGGAUGGACUCGCGGCUUAUCAGCUUGUUGGUGGGGUAGUGGCUUACCAAGGCUUUGACGGGUAGCCGGCCUGAGAGGGUGACCGGCCACAUUGGGACUGAGAUACGGCCCAGACUCCUACGGGAGGCAGCAGUGGGGAAUAUUGCACAAUGGGCGGAAGCCUGAUGCAGCAACGCCGCGUGCGGGAUGACGGCCUUCGGGUUGUAAACCGCUUUCGCCUGUGACGAAGCGUGAGUGACGGUAAUGGGUAAAGAAGCACCGGCUAACUACGUGCCAGCAGCCGCGGUGAUACGUAGGGUGCGAGCGUUGUCCGGACUUAUUGGGCGUGAAGGGCUCGUAGGUGGUUGAUCGCGUCGGAAGUGUAAUCUUGGGGCUUAACCCUGAGCGUGCUUUCGAUACGGGUUGACUUGAGGAAGGUAGGGGAGAAUGGAAUUCCUGGUGGAGCGGUGGAAUGCGCAGAUAUCAGGAGGAACACCAGUGGCGAAGGCGGUUCUCUGGGCCUUUCCUGACGCUGAGGAGCGAAAGCGUGGGGAGCGAACAGGCUUAGAUACCCUGGUAGUCCACGCUGUAAACGGUGGGUACUAGGUGUGGGGUCCAUUCCACGGGUUCCGUGCCGUAGCUAACGCUUUAAGUACCCCGCCUGGGGAGUACGGCCGCAAGGCUAAAACUCAAAGGAAUUGACGGGGCCCCGCACAAGCGGCGGAGCAUGCGGAUUAAUUCGAUGCAACGCGUAGAACCUUACCUGGGUUUGACAUGGAUCGGGAGUGCUCAGAGAUGGGUGUGCCUCUUUUGGGGUCGGUUCACAGGUGGUGCAUGGCUGUCGUCAGCUCGUGUCGUGAGAUGUUGGGUUAAGUCCCGCAACGAGCGCAACCCUUGUUCACUGUUGCCAGCACGUUAUGGUGGGGACUCAGUGGAGACCGCCGGGGUCAACUCGGAGGAAGGUGGGGAUGACGUCAAGUCAUCAUGCCCCUUAUGUCCAGGGCUUCACGCAUGCUACAAUGGCUGGUACAGAGAGUGGCGAGCCUGUGAGGGUGAGCGAAUCUCGGAAAGCCGGUCUCAGUUCGGAUUGGGGUCUGCAACUCGACCUCAUGAAGUCGGAGUCGCUAGUAAUCGCAGAUCAGCAACGCUGCGGUGAAUACGUUCCCGGG